RNAcentral lists this long non-coding RNA (1433 nucleotides) under Homo sapiens (human). RNAcentral's name for it is "non-protein coding lnc-COPZ1-5:1". The record is from RNAcentral. Lineage: Eukaryota; Metazoa; Chordata; Mammalia; Primates; Hominidae.
CUUCUUCUUGCUGCCUGCUGGCCUCCUGGGUUUACGGUGUCACUGCGGCCAGGGCUGGGGGAACAGGACGUCUAGAAGACGGUGUGAGUGGAAGACAUUUUAGGUCUGGCCCCUGGAGUUUGGCUGCUUCUACCCCCACCUCUCUCCCAAGAAGGGGACUCCUCUUAAUGUAUCAGGUAUGGGAUUUCCUCCCUCUAGAAUUUCUGGUGCCUUGUUAUGCCACGGCUGCCAUUCUUAGAAAUGCUAGGGGGUUCUUUGUCUCAUCCUGUCUCUUCUACCCCAUCAGCCCCUUUUCAUUUGUGGGUUCUGUGAAGACAUUCCUGACUCAGAGCAUUCUAAGAAGUCACAGACUGGAGUGUGGUCCAGGGUUGGUCUCCCAGGAGGGAUAUUUUUAGGUGAUGCAGGCCCUGCUAGGCAGAAGCCUGAGUUAAUGAGAAUAGUCCUGGUGAUGGGGGAAGAGGGUGAGGUGGACCUCAUACCCUACCUUCCCAAAUUUCCCAUAAAUUUGUGGCUAUGCUGCCCUCUGGUGGCUGAAUUUUAGUCUAUCCUGACAGGGACAUCUUUGUCUCCAACAACCGCAAUUGCUCUCCCUCUUGCUGCCCGUUAGGACAGGCCUUGAGGAGAAAAGAGAACCCUGAGGGUCCCUCACUUUGCGAGAUUUAUCUUCAAAGAUCUGAACCCUGUGGCAUGUUGGUUAAGAAUUCGGGCUUUCCCAGCCAGAUAAGGCUGAGUUUCACUCUGUUCUGCCACUCACUGUGUGACUUUGCACAAGUUAUGUAACCUCUCUGGGCCUCAGUUUCUCUUUGUGUAAAUGGGAUAAAUAGUACCAACCUCACAGAACUCUGUGAGAAAUUAAAUGUGAUAAUGUAUGCAAACUAACACCCCCUACCAGCACACAGUAGCAAUGAAAACAAAGCAAUACAAAAACCUAACUGGGCUUUCUUCUAAUUUAGUUCCGUGGCUUUUUCCUCUCAACUCAUUUCAUUAUUCUGAUUUAGGGAAGCCUGGUAAAUUUUCUGAACCAUCCUCCCCCACCUCCACCUUGGACCUCCCCCUUUGCAUUCUGCUCUAAUCCUCAAACCCAAAGAGAAGAGGUUCCUUUCCCUUCUCCCUUGGGAGUGUUGGGGACCAGGUCUGAUGGGGGAUGAGGGAGGGGCAGAGGAGUCAAGCCCUGCUUUCUCUCCUUCCAUCACCUCUUUCACCUAAGAAGGGAGCCUAGAACUAGUUUCACAGUUUCUGGGGGGUCAUACUUCUGGCUCCUAGUGGAAAGAAGCCAUGAGAGAAAUAGGCAUCUGCUUUCCACCAAGUCGCUUGGUUCCAGGAUGGGUUUGGAAAGAGUAACAUGAGAUCACAGAUUCUAGUUCUGGUCAGUGGGGGCACUGGGUCAGAUUUAUUGCACUUGCAACAGAGUUUAAAUAAGUCCUGGGUGUCUG